UACGGAGGGUGCAAGCGUUAAUCGGAAUUACUGGGCGUAAAGGGUGCGUAGGUUGUUGAUUAAGUUAUCUGUGAAAUCCCUGGGCUUAACCUGGGGCGGUCAGAUAAGACUGAUUGACUCGAGUAUGGGAGAGGGUAGUGGAAUUUCCGGUGUAGCGGUGAAAUGCGUAGAGAUCGGAAGGAACACCAGUGGCGAAGGCGGCUACCUGGCCUAAUACUGACACUGAGGCACGAAAGCGUGGGGAGCAAACAGG
This 253-nucleotide ribosomal RNA is filed under the name uncultured bacterium. RNAcentral's name for it is "partial 16S ribosomal RNA". It matches the Rfam family "Bacterial small subunit ribosomal RNA", at positions 524 to 776 of the family's 1533-position model. The record is from RNAcentral.